This 72-nucleotide transfer RNA is filed under the name Rattus norvegicus (Norway rat). It matches the Rfam family "tRNA". Rfam says of the family: Transfer RNA (tRNA) molecules are approximately 80 nucleotides in length. Their secondary structure includes four short double-helical elements and three loops (D, anti-codon, and T loops). The record is from Rfam by way of RNAcentral. Lineage: Eukaryota; Metazoa; Chordata; Mammalia; Rodentia; Muridae.
GAGGAUGUAGCUCAGACUGUAGAGUUCUUGCCUAGCAUGCAUGAAACUUUGGGUUCAAACCCAGUAUCUUAU